Molecule: ribosomal RNA, 1243 nt
Filed under: Staphylococcus aureus
Lineage: Bacteria; Bacillati; Bacillota; Bacilli; Caryophanales; Staphylococcaceae
Description: bacterial SSU rRNA
Rfam family: Bacterial small subunit ribosomal RNA (bases 1-739)
Source: RNAcentral
UAAACAGAGAAUGAGUGCUAGUGUUAGGGGGUUUCCGCCCCUUAGUGCUGCAGCUAACGCAUUAAGCACUCCGCCUGGGGAGUACGACCGCAAGGUUGAAACUCAAAGGAAUUGACGGGGACCCGCACAAGCGGUGGAGCAUGUGGUUUAAUUCGAAGCAACGCGAAGAACCUUACCAAAUCUUGACAUCCUUUGACAACUCUAGAGAUAGAGCUUUCCCCUUCGGGGGACAAAGUGACAGGUGGUGCAUGGUUGUCGUCAGCUCGUGUCGUGAGAUGUUGGGUUAAGUCCCGCAACGAGCGCAACCCUUAAGCUUAGUUGCCAUCAUUAAGUUGGGCACUCUAAGUUGACUGCCGGUGACAAACCGGAGGAAGGUGGGGAUGACGUCAAAUCAUCAUGCCCCUUAUGAUUUGGGCUACACACGUGCUACAAUGGACAAUACAAAGGGCAGCGAAACCGCGAGGUCAAGCAAAUCCCAUAAAGUUGUUCUCAGUUCGGAUUGUAGUCUGCAACUCGACUACAUGAAGCUGGAAUCGCUAGUAAUCGUAGAUCAGCAUGCUACGGUGAAUACGUUCCCGGGUCUUGUACACACCGCCCGUCACACCACGAGAGUUUGUAACACCCGAAGCCGGUGGAGUAACCUUUUAGGAGCUAGCCGUCGAAGGUGGGACAAAUGAUUGGGGUGAAGUCGACGGGGGGCCCCCCCCAAAAAAAAUUUUUUGGGGCUCCAAAAUUUUUUGCCUAAUGGUGGGAACCCCUGGGGGCCCCAAAACGGCCCCCCCCCCCCCCGGGGGGGUCCCCCCCCAUUCUUCGCCCCCCUUUUCCCCCGGCCACCCGGGGGGAUUUCGCCCCUCUCCUCUCCUCGGGCCCCCCAGUUUUUUGCUGUGUUUUCUCAGGGGCGCCCCCCCCCCGGGCGGUCCCCCGGGGCGCGUUUCCUAACACCGAACUUUUAAAAAACACCCCCCCCCCAGCGCGGGGUUUUUUCCCCCCCCGCAAAUAUUUUCCGCGGAAAAAAAGCGCUUGGGGCGCCCACUCACUUUUAUUUACCCCGCGGGGGGGGCGGCGGGGGCCCCUCUUAAAUUUCCUCCCCCGGGGGGGCUUUUUCGCUUAAAUUUUGCGACCGCCCCGCGGCCCAAAAAAAGGGGGGGCUCCCCAACGUUGUCUCUUCCUCCACCCCCCUGUUUUUUCUUCCCUCCCCCCCCCCCCAACAUAAACGACCGCCAAUGGGUUUUUUUUUUCCCUC